RNAcentral lists this ribosomal RNA (739 nucleotides) under uncultured bacterium. Its description in RNAcentral is "bacterial SSU rRNA". It matches the Rfam family "Bacterial small subunit ribosomal RNA", at positions 8 to 796 of the family's 1533-position model. The record is from RNAcentral.
AGAGUUUGAUCCUGGCUCAGAACGAACGCUGGCGGCAGGCUUAACACAUGCAAGUCGAACGCACCGCAAGGUGAGUGGCAGACGGGUGAGUAACGCGUGGGAACGUGCCCUUCAGUUCGGGAUAACCCAGGGAAACUUGGGCUAAUACCGGAUACGUGCGAGAGCAGAAAGAUUUAUCGCUGAAGGAUCGGCCCGCGUCUGAUUAGCUAGUUGGUAGGGUAAUGGCCUACCAAGGCGACGAUCAGUAGCUGGUCUGAGAGGAUGAUCAGCCACAUUGGGACUGAGACACGGCCCAAACUCCUACGGGAGGCAGCAGUGGGGAAUAUUGGACAAUGGGCGCAAGCCUGAUCCAGCCAUGCCGCGUGAGUGAUGAAGGCCUUAGGGUUGUAAAGCUCUUUCGGCGGGGACGAUAAUGACGGUACCCGCAGAAGAAGCCCCGGCUACUUCGUGCCAGCAGCCGCGGUAAUACGAAGGGGGCUAGCGUUGUUCGGAAUCACUGGGCGUAAAGGGCGCGUAGGCGGCCUGAUAAGUCGGGGGUGAAAGCCUGUGGCUCAACCACAGAAUUGCCUUCGAUACUGUCGGGCUUGAGACCGGAAGAGGUCAGUGGAACUGCGAGUGUAGAGGUGAAAUUCGUAGAUAUUCGCAAGAACACCAGUGGCGAAGGCGGCUGACUGGUCCGGUUCUGNNGCUGAGGCGCGAAAGCGUGGGGAGCAAACAGGAUUAGAUACCCUAGUAGUCC